This 495-nucleotide ribosomal RNA is filed under the name Glomus sp. JA101D2. RNAcentral's name for it is "eukaryotic LSU rRNA". The stretch from base 55 to 208 matches the Rfam family "5.8S ribosomal RNA". Lineage: Eukaryota; Fungi; Glomeromycota; Glomeromycetes; Glomerales; Glomeraceae. The record is from RNAcentral.
UUAUAACCAAAAAAAAAAAAAUUAAUAUAUAUUUUAAUAUAUAUAUAAAAAAACAACUUUCAACAACGGAUCUCUUGGCUCUCGCAUCGAUGAAGAACGCAGCGAAUUGCGAUAAGUAAUGUGAAUUGCAGAAUUACGUGAAUCAUCGAAUCUUUGAACGCAUAUUGCACUCUCUGGUAUUCCGGGGAGUAUGCCUGUUUGAGGGUCAGUAAAUAAUAAUUAUCAUAAUCUUUUGAUUGUGGAAUUGGGCCUUUAUUUCAUUUUAAUGAUUUAUGGCCUUAAAUUUAUGUUACCGCUUGUUUAAUAUGAAAUUCGACCGAAUGGAGCAAUUAAACAUUCUCUCGUUAGGCGGAUUCAUCAAGCAAUUACGAUUUUUUGGCCGUCGGAGCACUUUUUUUUAAAAGUGCUUGGUCUCGAUUGUAAGAUACAUUUAACAAUGACCUCAAAUCAGGCAAGAAUACCCGCUGAACUUAAGCAUAUCAAUAAGCGGAGGAA